Molecule: long non-coding RNA, 706 nt
Filed under: Mus musculus (house mouse)
Lineage: Eukaryota; Metazoa; Chordata; Mammalia; Rodentia; Muridae
Description: cholinergic receptor nicotinic alpha 1 subunit, opposite strand
Source: RNAcentral
GCGGGGCUCUGAAGCCUUUUGCUAUCCACAAGCGGAAACACCAAGCAAGCCAGCCUAGGACUCCCCUCAGAAGGGUCUCAGCAAAAGUCCAGCUCAGCUCCUGACAUUGUGCGGCAUGAAGUCCGGAGGAACUGAACAGUCGGAGAGCUGGCUGCAAUGAAUUUGACGAGAGAAAAGACGUGUUCUCUGCUCCAUUUCUCUGAACUGGACCAAUGCAAAGAUUGGACCACGCGGAAUCCUGGGAUUGUGUCAGUUACAUAAGCAAACUUUAGUCUCUGCUGAGAUUUAGAGUCAAGAUCAUGAACAUUCCACCCUCCAUUCGUCAGCUGCCUGAGUUUCUAUUCUAGGAGAUGGCUUGCACUACAUCAGGAUGCAGAAGAAGAUAUAGUAAGAGCCUACCUAGACUUCUCAAGAAAGUUUCCUGAAAGCAAUAUUUUCCUUUGUCGUACUAGUCUCAAGGAUGCUGGUCUCAUCUUCCUACUGUGUGGCCUGUAAUCACCUCUAUCUACAGCACCACUCUCUAUGAGUCCCUUCUGUGUGCUGGCCUUUGUCACAGUCUGGGUCACAGUGGUGAUUCCCAGCAGUGAAGGGGUGGGGUGUCUGGAGCCUUUGUAUAAACACAGUAGUCUGCUGGGAGCAUUGAUGAUUAUUGUUGAUGACAAUGAGAAAAAAAAUGAAGUUAACCAUUUGUUUAAUGUGCUGCCAA